This 484-nucleotide ribosomal RNA is filed under the name uncultured bacterium. RNAcentral describes it as "partial 16S ribosomal RNA". It matches the Rfam family "Bacterial small subunit ribosomal RNA", at positions 30 to 507 of the family's 1533-position model. The record is from RNAcentral.
AUUGAACGCUGGCGGCAGGCCUAACACAUGCAAGUCGAGCGGAUGAAGGGAGCUUGCUCCUGGAUUCAGCGGCGGACGGGUGAGUAAUGCCUAGGAAUCUGCCCGGUAGUGGGGGAUAACGUCCGGAAACGGGCGCUAAUACCGCAUACGUCCUGAGGGAGAAAGUGGGGGAUCUUCGGACCUCACGCUAUCAGAUGAGCCUAGGUCGGAUUAGCUAGUUGGUGGGGUAAAGGCCUACCAAGGCGACGAUCCGUAACUGGUCUGAGAGGAUGAUCAGUCACACUGGAACUGAGACACGGUCCAGACUCCUACGGGAGGCAGCAGUGGGGAAUAUUGGACAAUGGGCGAAAGCCUGAUCCAGCCAUGCCGCGUGUGUGAAGAAGGUCUUCGGAUUGUAAAGCACUUUAAGUUGGGAGGAAGGGCAGUAAGUUAAUACCUUGCUGUCUUGACGUUACCAACAGAAUAAGCACCGGCUAACUUCGUG